RNAcentral lists this ribosomal RNA (492 nucleotides) under uncultured bacterium. RNAcentral's name for it is "partial 16S ribosomal RNA". It matches the Rfam family "Bacterial small subunit ribosomal RNA", at positions 29 to 507 of the family's 1533-position model. The record is from RNAcentral.
AGUGAACGCUGGCGGUAGGCCUAACACAUGCAAGUCGAACGGCAGCACAGUAAGAGCUUGCUCUUACGGGUGGCGAGUGGCGGACGGGUGAGGAAUACAUCGGAAUCUACUUUUUCGUGGGGGAUAACGUAGGGAAACUUACGCUAAUACCGCAUACGACCUACGGGUGAAAGCAGGGGAUCUUCGGACCUUGCGCGAUUGAAUGAGCCGAUGUCGGAUUAGCUAGUUGGCGGGGUAAAGGCCAACCAAGGCGACGAUCCGUAGCUGGUCUGAGAGGAGGAUCAGCCACACUGGAACUGAGACGCGGUCCAGACUCCUCCGGGAGGCAGCGGUGGGGAAUAUUGGACAAUGGGCGCAAGCCUGAUCCAGCCAUACCGCGUGGGUGAAGAAGGCCUUCGGGUUGUAAAGCCCUUUUGUUGGGAAAGAAAAGCAGCAGGUUAAUACCCCGCUGUUCUGACGGUACCCAAAGAAUAAGCACCGGCUAACUUCGUG